GCUGGGUGUGGUGGUGGGCACCUGUAAUCCCAGCUACUUGGGAGGCUGAGGCAGAAGAAUUGCUUGAACCUGGGAGUCUGAGUUGCAGUGAGCUGAGAUCGCGCCACUGCACUCCAGCCUGGGAGACAGAGUGAGACUCGGUCUCAA
RNAcentral lists this non-coding RNA (147 nucleotides) under Nomascus leucogenys (northern white-cheeked gibbon). The record is from Rfam by way of RNAcentral. Lineage: Eukaryota; Metazoa; Chordata; Mammalia; Primates; Hylobatidae.